Molecule: ribosomal RNA, 372 nt
Filed under: Triticum aestivum (bread wheat)
Lineage: Eukaryota; Viridiplantae; Streptophyta; Magnoliopsida; Poales; Poaceae
Description: partial small subunit ribosomal RNA
Source: RNAcentral
AUGGGUCUUAUUUAUGGCUGGAUGUUUGCUGUGAAUUGUUCGUAUGUGCAUCUGUUGGAUGUCGUCGUCUCUCGAUGUCGUUUGCCAUUCCACUCAUACCCGCGAGAGGUUAUGGAAGAUGGUGAUUUGCUCGGUGGAGUCGAGAUUGAGGUUGAUGUUCUUGGGAGUGAUGCAUUGACAGUCAGGAGGUUCUUCUGGUCCCAGGCCAGUGUGGGCUUGUCCAUUUAUGAAAGCGCUGCUUUCCAGGCAAUUUGUUUUCUGCAAGGGGUGUAUGGGUUUGUUCUGUUGGAUUACAAUUAUAGAAGUAUGUCUACUUAUCGAGAGCUUGCUCGCUCUGCGGUGGUUCUGGCUGCGUCGUUGGUCAGGGCAUAA